GCCGGGCGUGGUGGCGCAUGCCUGUAAUCCCAGCUACUUGUGAGACUGAGGCAGGAGAAUCGCUUGAACCCAGGAGGUGGAGGUUGCAGUGAGCUGAGAUUGUGCCACUGCACUCCAGCCUGGGUGACAGAGUGAGACUCUGUCUCAA
This 148-nucleotide non-coding RNA is filed under the name Chlorocebus sabaeus (green monkey). The record is from Rfam by way of RNAcentral. Lineage: Eukaryota; Metazoa; Chordata; Mammalia; Primates; Cercopithecidae.